UGCGCAGGCGGUUUUGUAAGACAGUGGUGAAAUCCCCGGGCUCAACCUGGGAACUGCCAUUGUGACUGCAAGGCUGGAGUGCGGCAGAGGGGGGUGGAAUUCCGCGUGUAGCAGUGAAAUGCGUAGAUAUGCGGAGGAACACCGAUGGCGAAGGCAAUCCCCUGGGCCUGCACUGACGCUCAUGCACGAAAGCUGGGAGCAAACA
RNAcentral lists this ribosomal RNA (205 nucleotides) under uncultured bacterium. Its description in RNAcentral is "partial 16S ribosomal RNA". It matches the Rfam family "Bacterial small subunit ribosomal RNA", at positions 568 to 774 of the family's 1533-position model. The record is from RNAcentral.